This 27-nucleotide non-coding RNA is filed under the name Homo sapiens (human). Lineage: Eukaryota; Metazoa; Chordata; Mammalia; Primates; Hominidae. The record is from RNAcentral.
GACAUGAACAACACCUUGAGCCUGAGC